This 699-nucleotide ribosomal RNA is filed under the name Shewanella sp. MR04-03. Its description in RNAcentral is "bacterial SSU rRNA". It matches the Rfam family "Bacterial small subunit ribosomal RNA", at positions 108 to 803 of the family's 1533-position model. The record is from RNAcentral. Lineage: Bacteria; Pseudomonadati; Pseudomonadota; Gammaproteobacteria; Alteromonadales; Shewanellaceae.
GANUAAUGCCUAGGUAUCUGCCCAGUCGAGGGGGAUAACAGUUGGAAACGACUGCUAAUACCGCAUACGCCCUACGGGGGAAAGGAGGGGACCUUCGGGCCUUCCGCGAUUGGAUGAACCUAGGUGGGAUUANCUAGUUGGUGAGGUAAUGGCUCACCAAGGCGACGAUCCCUAGCUGGUCUGAGAGGAUGAUCAGCCACACUGGAACUGAGACACGGUCCAGACUCCUACGGGAGGCAGCAGUGGGGAAUAUUGCACAAUGGGCGAAAGCCUGAUGCAGCCAUGCCGCGUGUGUGAAGAAGGCCUUCGGGUUGUAAAGCACUUUCAGCGAGGAGGAAAGGUUAAGUCUUAAUACGGCUUAGCUGUGACGUUACUCGCAGAAGAAGCACCGGCUAACUUCGUGCCAGCAGCCGCGGUAAUACNAGGGGUGCAAGCGUUAAUCGGAAUUACUGGNCGNAAAGCGUACGCAGGCGGUUUGUUAAGCAAGAUGUGAAAGCCCCGGGCUCAACCUGGGAACUGCAUUUUGAACUGGCAAACUAGAGUCUUGUANAGGGGGGUAGAAUUUCAGGUGUANCGGUGAAAUGCGUANAGAUCUGAAGGAAUACCGGUGGCGAANGCGGCCCCCUGGACAAAGACUGACGCUCANGUACGAANGCGUGGGGAGCAAACAGGANUANAUACCCUGGUAGUCCACGCCGU